Molecule: long non-coding RNA, 579 nt
Organism: Mauremys mutica (yellowpond turtle)
Lineage: Eukaryota; Metazoa; Chordata; Testudines; Geoemydidae
Exons: 3
Source: RefSeq, a predicted model, not a curated record
AACCCGGUACCCUGAGGAGGACUGGCCGAGCCUGCCCCGAGCCCAGUACCCUGAGGAGGAGUCGAGCCCUCCCGUGCACCCGUCUCCUGAGGAGCUGAUGCUGGUGGACCCCCCUGCCGAAGCCACGACAACACAGAAGCCCGAGGUGGGAGUUCGAGGAGCCCUGUAUUGAUGGAAAUGAGUCUCUUGGUCCAAGCUCUGCAGUUUCCCUGACAGCAUGAAUCCAUUUCUGAUGGAUCAGGUGGGAGAGAGAAGUACAGGAAAGGUUCUGAAGAUUUAUUUGGAGUAGGGGAUGGAGAUACAGUGCCUGUUUAUUGAGUGUUUGAGGCCCCAAUCCUGCAACUGACUGUGUGAGCGUAGGGGUCUGUUUGUAUGGAGUCAACUGUAGAACUGGAGGUCAAAUCUUCUUACAAGAUGGACUUACUAUGUGGGCUUCUUUUUACAGAGUUUUAGGUUAUUUUGUUCUGCAACAUUCAUUAACCAGGAAAAAAGUCUACAAGCUGAAAUGAAGAGAGAACAUUACAGGAUGAAGACCCUCCUUCUUUCAAUCGCUGAAUGUAGAUAGAUGCAAUGAAAGGA